AAUGGGCGCAAGCCUGAUCCAGCCAUGCCGCGUGAAUGAAGAAGGCCUUAGGGUUGUAAAGUUCUUUCAAUGGUGGAGAUAAUGACGGUAACCAUACAAGAAGCCCCGGCUAAUUUCGUGCCAGCAGCCGCGGUAAUACGAAAGGGGCUAGCGUUGUUCGGAAUUACUGGGCGUAAAGCGCACGUAGGCGGCCUUGUAAGUUGGGGGUGAAAUCCCGGGGCUCAACUCCGGAACUGCCUCCAAAACUGCAAAGCUUGAGGAUGUGAGAGGAUAGUGGAAUUCCGAGUGUAGAGGUGAAAUUCGUAGAUAUUCGGAAGAACACCGGUGGCGAAGGCGACUGUCUGGCACAUUUCUGACGCUGAGGUGCGAAAGCGUGGGGAGCGAACAGGAUU
This 392-nucleotide ribosomal RNA is filed under the name uncultured Gammaproteobacteria bacterium. RNAcentral's name for it is "bacterial SSU rRNA". It matches the Rfam family "Bacterial small subunit ribosomal RNA", at positions 370 to 779 of the family's 1533-position model. Lineage: Bacteria; Pseudomonadati; Pseudomonadota; Gammaproteobacteria. The record is from RNAcentral.